CCCCCGGACGGGUUCUGAGACACUAACCCGGGCCCUACGGGGCGCAGCAGGUGCGAAACCUCCACAAUGUACGCAAGUGCGAUGGGGGAAUCCUAAGUGCUGGCGCAAUGCGUCAGCUUUUCUCGAGUCUAAAUCGCUUGAGGAAUAAGUGGUGGGUAAGACCGCUGCCAGUCGCCGCGGUAAUAGCGGCGCCACGAGUGGCAUCCAUUUAUAUUGGGUUUAAAGCAUCCGUAGCCGGCCUGAUAAGUCUACUGUGAAAUCCUAUAGAAAACUGUAGGGCGUGCGGUAGAAACUAUUACGGCUUGGGACCAGGAGAGGUCAGAGGUACUCCUAGGGUAGCGGUAAAAUGCUGUAAUCCUAGGGGGACCCCCUGUGGCGAAGGCGUCUGACUGGAAUGGAUCCGACGGUGAGGGAUGAAAGCUAGGGGAGCGACCCGGAUUAGAUACCCGGUUAGUCCUAGCUGUAAACGAUGCUCACUUGGUAUUGGAAAUCUUUCGUGGAUUUCCAGUGCCGAAGGGAACCCGCCUCCUUCCCACCUGGGGAGUACGGUCGCAAGGCUGAAACUUAAA
Molecule: ribosomal RNA, 569 nt
Filed under: uncultured archaeon
Lineage: Archaea
Description: bacterial SSU rRNA
Rfam family: Archaeal small subunit ribosomal RNA
Source: RNAcentral